This is a non-coding RNA of Vicia faba (fava bean), 195 nucleotides long. NCBI's taxonomy places the organism in Eukaryota, Viridiplantae, Streptophyta, Magnoliopsida, Fabales, Fabaceae. The record is from the annotation of a GenBank genome assembly.
AUGUUUUUAAAAUAUGAACCGUAUGAACCUCAGAUUGGCUCGUUGGUGAAAAUUCGAGACCUUAAGAGUGUACUCUUCUCAAGGUUCUCAAAUCCUGUGUUAACAAUUCCCGUGUUAGGCCAGUCCCUACAGAGCUUUCCUCUGGCUUUAAAUAGGCCCCCACUAGUGAAGGGUAUGAUUGAUCCUUUUGGUUGA